Molecule: ribosomal RNA, 1540 nt
Filed under: Klebsiella pneumoniae
Lineage: Bacteria; Pseudomonadati; Pseudomonadota; Gammaproteobacteria; Enterobacterales; Enterobacteriaceae
Description: bacterial SSU rRNA
Rfam family: Bacterial small subunit ribosomal RNA
Source: RNAcentral
AAAUUGAAGAGUUUGAUCAUGGCUCAGAUUGAACGCUGGCGGCAGGCCUAACACAUGCAAGUCGAGCGGUAGCACAGAGAGCUUGCUCUCGGGUGACGAGCGGCGGACGGGUGAGUAAUGUCUGGGAAACUGCCUGAUGGAGGGGGAUAACUACUGGAAACGGUAGCUAAUACCGCAUAAUGUCGCAAGACCAAAGUGGGGGACCUUCGGGCCUCAUGCCAUCAGAUGUGCCCAGAUGGGAUUAGCUAGUAGGUGGGGUAAUGGCUCACCUAGGCGACGAUCCUUAGCUGGUCUGAGAGGAUGACCAGCCACACUGGAACUGAGACACGGUCCAGACUCCUACGGGAGGCAGCAGUGGGGAAUAUUGCACAAUGGGCGCAAGCCUGAUGCAGCCAUGCCGCGUGUGUGAAGAAGGCCUUCGGGUUGUAAAGCACUUUCAGCGGGGAGGAAGGCGGUGAGGUUAAUAACCUCAUCGAUUGACGUUACCCGCAGAAGAAGCACCGGCUAACUCCGUGCCAGCAGCCGCGGUAAUACGGAGGGUGCAAGCGUUAAUCGGAAUUACUGGGCGUAAAGCGCACGCAGGCGGUCUGUCAAGUCGGAUGUGAAAUCCCCGGGCUCAACCUGGGAACUGCAUUCGAAACUGGCAGGCUAGAGUCUUGUAGAGGGGGGUAGAAUUCCAGGUGUAGCGGUGAAAUGCGUAGAGAUCUGGAGGAAUACCGGUGGCGAAGGCGGCCCCCUGGACAAAGACUGACGCUCAGGUGCGAAAGCGUGGGGAGCAAACAGGAUUAGAUACCCUGGUAGUCCACGCCGUAAACGAUGUCGAUUUGGAGGUUGUGCCCUUGAGGCGUGGCUUCCGGAGCUAACGCGUUAAAUCGACCGCCUGGGGAGUACGGCCGCAAGGUUAAAACUCAAAUGAAUUGACGGGGGCCCGCACAAGCGGUGGAGCAUGUGGUUUAAUUCGAUGCAACGCGAAGAACCUUACCUGGUCUUGACAUCCACAGAACUUUCCAGAGAUGGAUUGGUGCCUUCGGGAACUGUGAGACAGGUGCUGCAUGGCUGUCGUCAGCUCGUGUUGUGAAAUGUUGGGUUAAGUCCCGCAACGAGCGCAACCCUUAUCCUUUGUUGCCAGCGGUCCGGCCGGGAACUCAAAGGAGACUGCCAGUGAUAAACUGGAGGAAGGUGGGGAUGACGUCAAGUCAUCAUGGCCCUUACGACCAGGGCUACACACGUGCUACAAUGGCAUAUACAAAGAGAAGCGACCUCGCGAGAGCAAGCGGACCUCAUAAAGUAUGUCGUAGUCCGGAUUGGAGUCUGCAACUCGACUCCAUGAAGUCGGAAUCGCUAGUAAUCGUAGAUCAGAAUGCUACGGUGAAUACGUUCCCGGGCCUUGUACACACCGCCCGUCACACCAUGGGAGUGGGUUGCAAAAGAAGUAGGUAGCUUAACCUUCGGGAGGGCGCUUACCACUUUGUGAUUCAUGACUGGGGUGAAGUCGUAACAAGGUAACCGUAGGGGAACCUGCGGUUGGAUCACCUCCUUA